Molecule: non-coding RNA, 1430 nt
Filed under: Drosophila sechellia
Lineage: Eukaryota; Metazoa; Arthropoda; Insecta; Diptera; Drosophilidae
Description: Eukaryotic small subunit ribosomal RNA
Rfam family: Eukaryotic small subunit ribosomal RNA
Source: Rfam by way of RNAcentral
AGUAGUUAUAUGCUUGUCUCAAAGAUUAAGCCAUGCAUGUCUAAGUACACACGAAUUAAAAGUGAAACCGCAAAAGGCUCAUUAUAUCAGUUAUGGUUCCUUAGAUCGUUAACAGUUACUUGGAUAACUGUGGUAAUUCUAGAGCUAAUACAUGCAAUUAAAACAUGAACCUUAUGGGACAUGUGCUUUUAUUAGGCUAAAACCAAGCGAUCGCAAGAUCGUUAUAUUGGUUGAACUCUAGAUAACAUGCAGAUCGUAUGGUCUUGUACCGACGACAGAUCUUUCAAAUGUCUGCCCUAUCAACUUUUGAUGGUAGUAUCUAGGACUACCAUGGUUGCAACGGGUAACGGGGAAUCAGGGUUCGAUUCCGGAGAGGGAGCCUGAGAAACGGCUACCACAUCUAAGGAAGGCAGCAGGCGCGUAAAUUACCCACUCCCAGCUCGGGGAGGUAGUGACGAAAAAUAACAAUACAGGACUCAUAUCCGAGGCCCUGUAAUUGGAAUGAGUACACUUUAAAUCCUUUAACAAGGACCAAUUGGAGGGCAAGUCUGGUGCCAGCAGCCGCGGUAAUUCCAGCUCCAAUAGCGUAUAUUAAAGUUGUUGCGGUUAAAACGUUCGUAGUUGAACUUGUGCUUCAUACGGGUAGUACAACUUACAAUUGUGGUUAGUACUAUACCUUUAUGUAUGUAAGCGUAUUACCGGUGGAGUUCUUAUAUGUGAUUAAAUACUUGUAUUUUUUCAUAUGUUCCUCCUAUUUAAAAACCUGCACUAGUGCUCUUAAACGAGUGUUAUUGUGGGCCGGUACUAUUACUUUGAACAAUUAGAGUGCUUAAAGCAGGCUUCAAAUGCCUGAAUAUUCUGUGCAUGGGAUAAUGAAAUAAGACCUCUGUUCUGCUUUCAUUGGUUUUCAGAUCAAGAGGUAAUGAUUAAUAGAAGCAGUUUGGGGGCAUUAGUAUUACGACGCGAGAGGUGAAAUUCUUGGACCGUCGUAAGACUAACUUAAGCGAAAGCAUUUGCCAAAGAUGUUUUCAUUAAUCAAGAACGAAAGUUAGAGGUUCGAAGGCGAUCAGAUACCGCCCUAGUUCUAACCAUAAACGAUGCCAGCUAGCAAUUGGGUGUAGCUACUUUUAUGGCUCUCUCAGUCGCUUCCCGGGAAACCAAAGCUUUUGGGCUCCGGGGGAAGUAUGGUUGCAAAGCUGAAACUUAAAGGAAUUGACGGAAGGGCACCACCAGGAGUGGAGCCUGCGGCUUAAUUUGACUCAACACGGGAAAACUUACCAGGUCCGAACAUAAGUGUGUAAGACAGAUUGAUAGCUCUUUCUCGAAUCUAUGGGUGGUGGUGCAUGGACGUUCUUAGUUCGUGGAGUGAUUUGUCUGGUUAAUUCCGCUCAACGAACGAGACUCAAAUAUAUUAAAUAGAUAUCUUCAGG